RNAcentral lists this ribosomal RNA (253 nucleotides) under uncultured bacterium. Its description in RNAcentral is "partial 16S ribosomal RNA". It matches the Rfam family "Bacterial small subunit ribosomal RNA", at positions 524 to 776 of the family's 1533-position model. The record is from RNAcentral.
UACGUAGGGUGCAAGCGUUAAUCGGAAUUACUGGGCGUAAAGCGUGCGCAGGCGGUUAUGCAAGACAGAUGUGAAAUCCCCGGGCUUAACCUGGGAAUGGCGAUGGAGACUGCGAGGCUAGAGUUUGGCAGAGGGGGGUAGAAUUCCACGUGUAGCAGUGAAAUGCGUAGAGAUGUGGAGGAACACCGAUGGCGAAGGCAGCCCCCUGGGUCAAAACUGACGCUCAUGCACGAAAGCGUGGGGAGCAAACAGG